This 1444-nucleotide ribosomal RNA is filed under the name uncultured organism. RNAcentral describes it as "SSU rRNA". It matches the Rfam family "Bacterial small subunit ribosomal RNA". The record is from RNAcentral.
GCUACAGGCUUAACACAUGCAAGUCGAGGGGCAGCAUGGUCUUAGCUUGCUAAGGCCGAUGGCGACCGGCGCACGGGUGAGUAACACGUAUCCAACCUGCCGUCUACUCUUGGACAGCCUUCUGAAAGGAAGAUUAAUACAAGAUGGCAUCAUGAGUCCGCAUGUUCACAUGAUUAAAGGUAUUCCGGUAGACGAUGGGGAUGCGUUCCAUUAGAUAGUAGGCGGGGUAACGGCCCACCUAGUCUUCGAUGGAUAGGGGUUCUGAGAGGAAGGUCCCCCACAUUGGAACUGAGACACGGUCCAAACUCCUACGGGAGGCAGCAGUGAGGAAUAUUGGUCAAUGGGCGAGAGCCUGAACCAGCCAAGUAGCGUGAAGGAUGACUGCCCUAUGGGUUGUAAACUUCUUUUAUAAAGGAAUAAAGUCGGGUAUGGAUACCCGUUUGCAUGUACUUUAUGAAUAAGGAUCGGCUAACUCCGUGCCAGCAGCCGCGGUAAUACGGAGGAUCCGAGCGUUAUCCGGAUUUAUUGGGUUUAAAGGGAGCGUAGAUGGAUGUUUAAGUCAGUUGUGAAAGUUUGCGGCUCAACCGUAAAAUUGCAGUUGAUACUGGAUAUCUUGAGUGCAGUUGAGGCAGGCGGAAUUCGUGGUGUAGCGGUGAAAUGCUUAGAUAUCACGAAGAACUCCGAUUGCGAAGGCAGCCUGCUAAGCUGCAACUGACAUUGAGGCUCGAAAGUGUGGGUAUCAAACAGGAUUAGAUACCCUGGUAGUCCACACGGUAAACGAUGAAUACUCGCUGUUUGCGAUAUACAGCAAGCGGCCAAGCGAAAGCGUUAAGUAUUCCACCUGGGGAGUACGCCGGCAACGGUGAAACUCAAAGGAAUUGACGGGGGCCCGCACAAGCGGAGGAACAUGUGGUUUAAUUCGAUGAUACGCGAGGAGCCUUACCCGGGCUUAAAUUGCAGAUGAAUUACGGUGAAAGCCGUAAGCCGCAAGGCAUCUGUGAAGGUGCUGCAUGGUUGUCGUCAGCUCGUGCCGUGAGGUGUCGGCUUAAGUGCCAUAACGAGCGCAACCCUUGUUGUCAGUUACUAACAGGUUCCGCUGAGGACUCUGACAAGACUGCCAUCGUAAGAUGUGAGGAAGGUGGGGAUGACGUCAAAUCAGCACGGCCCUUACGUCCGGGGCUACACACGUGUUACAAUGGGGGGUACAGAGGGCCGCUACCACGCGAGUGGAUGCCAAUCCCCAAAACCUCUCUCAGUUCGGACUGGAGUCUGCAACCCGACUCCACGAAGCUGGAUUCGCUAGUAAUCGCGCAUCAGCCACGGCGCGGUGAAUACGUUCCCGGGCCUUGUACACACCGCCCGUCAAGCCAUGGGAGCCGGGGGUACCUGAAGUGCGUAACCGCGAGGAGCGCCCUAGGGUAAAACUGGUGACUGGGGCUAAGUA